This 67-nucleotide transfer RNA is filed under the name Hypsilurus modestus (modest forest dragon). RNAcentral's name for it is "tRNA-Ala". It matches the Rfam family "tRNA". Rfam says of the family: Transfer RNA (tRNA) molecules are approximately 80 nucleotides in length. Their secondary structure includes four short double-helical elements and three loops (D, anti-codon, and T loops). Further hydrogen bonds mediate the characteristic L-shaped molecular structure. tRNAs have two regions of fundamental functional importance: the anti-codon, which is responsible for specific mRNA codon recognition, and the 3' end, to which the tRNAs corresponding amino acid is attached (by aminoacyl-tRNA synthetases). tRNAs cope with the degeneracy of the genetic code in two manners: having more than one tRNA (with a specific anti-codon) for a particular amino acid; and 'wobble' base-pairing, i.e. permitting non-standard base-pairing at the 3rd anti-codon position. Lineage: Eukaryota; Metazoa; Chordata; Lepidosauria; Squamata; Agamidae. The record is from RNAcentral.
AAGGCCUUAGUUUAGUUAAAACGCCUGGUUUGCAACUAGGAGAUGUAGAUAAGUUCUGUAGGUUUUA